AGCAAUGGAACGAGUGGCGCACGGGUGAGUAACGCGUACAGAAUCUGCCUCGAACUGGGGGAAAGUCAUUGGAAACGAUGAAUAAUCCCGCAUAAUGUACUGUGGAGGCAUCUCUAUGGUAAGAAAGACUUCGGUUGGUUUGAGAUGAUUGUGCGUCUGAUUAGCUAGUUGGAGUGGUAAAGCACACCAAGGCUACGAUCAGUAGGGGGCGUGAGAGCGUGACCCCCCACACGGGUACUGAGAACGGACCCGACUCCUACGGGAGGCAGCAGUAAGGAAUAUUGGGCAAUGGGCGAAAGCCUGACCCAGCCAUGCCGCGUGAAGGAUGAAGGCGUUACGCGUCGUAAACUUCUUUUGUAUGGGAAGAAUGACGGGGAUUUAUCCCUGGAGAGACGGUACCAUAAGAAUAAGCACCGGCUAACUCCGUGCCAGCAGCCGCGGUAAUACGGAGGGUGCAAGCGUUAUCCGGAAUCACUGGGUUUAAAGGGUACGUAGGCUGUUAGUUAAGUCAUCAGUGAAAGGCCGUCGCUUAACGAUGGGAAUGCUGAUGAAACUGGCUAGCUAGAAUUGAGUUAAGGUAGUCGGAAUGGAUCAUGUAGCGGUGAAAUGCAUAGAUAUGAUUUAGAACACCGAAAGCGAAGGCAGGCUACUGAGCUUUUAUUGACGCUGAG
This 671-nucleotide ribosomal RNA is filed under the name uncultured bacterium. RNAcentral describes it as "bacterial SSU rRNA". It matches the Rfam family "Bacterial small subunit ribosomal RNA", at positions 82 to 750 of the family's 1533-position model. The record is from RNAcentral.